UACGGAGGGAGCUAGCGUUGUUCGGAAUUACUGGGCGUAAAGCGCGCGUAGGCGGCUUUGUACGUUAGAGGUGAAAGCCCGGAGCUCAACUCCGGAACUGCCUUUAAAACUGCAUCGCUUGAAUCCAGGAGAGGUGAGUGGAAUUCCGAGUGUAGAGGUGAAAUUCGUAGAUAUUCGGAAGAACACCAGUGGCGAAGGCGGCUCACUGGACUGGUAUUGACGCUGAGGUGCGAAAGCGUGGGGAGCAAACAGG
RNAcentral lists this ribosomal RNA (253 nucleotides) under uncultured bacterium. RNAcentral's name for it is "partial 16S ribosomal RNA". It matches the Rfam family "Bacterial small subunit ribosomal RNA", at positions 524 to 776 of the family's 1533-position model. The record is from RNAcentral.